RNAcentral lists this transfer RNA (71 nucleotides) under Salmo salar (Atlantic salmon). It matches the Rfam family "tRNA". From Rfam's summary of the family: Transfer RNA (tRNA) molecules are approximately 80 nucleotides in length. Their secondary structure includes four short double-helical elements and three loops (D, anti-codon, and T loops). The record is from Rfam by way of RNAcentral. Lineage: Eukaryota; Metazoa; Chordata; Actinopteri; Salmoniformes; Salmonidae.
UCCCGUGUGGCUCAGUUGGUAGAGCAUGGUGUUUGCAACGUCAAGGUUGUGGGUUUGAUUUCCCACGGGGG